This is a non-coding RNA of Punica granatum (pomegranate), 1846 nucleotides long. NCBI's taxonomy places the organism in Eukaryota, Viridiplantae, Streptophyta, Magnoliopsida, Myrtales, Lythraceae. The record is from RefSeq and is a predicted model, not a curated record.
CGAUUGCGUGAGCCGGUCGUCUCUCCCCUCUCUCUCUCAUAUUCAUAUAUCUACGCCUGCCUUCCUUUGGGCUUCAUCCAUCCAUCGUCUCCAGCUCAAAGCCUGAAACCACGAAUCAGCUUCUCCUCUCUCUCUCUCUCUCUCUCUUUCUCUCUCUGUAUAUCAAGAAACCCUCGCUCGGUCGGUGCUGGAGGCGGUGGAAAAUCGGCUCAAUGGAGGAGACUGAAAAGCCGGUGGAGAUGGAGGUGGAGGUGCAGGACGCCGAGUCGGAGGAUAUUGCCGAUUCCUUCCUCUGCUGCGUUUGCCUGGAGCUUCUCUACAAGCCUGUUGUGCUAUCUUGUGGUCACAUUUCCUGUUUUUGGUGCGUACAUAAAUCAAUGAGCUGGGCACACGAAUCGCAUUGUCCAAUUUGCCGGCACCCAUAUAUUCACUUUCCAAGCAUCUGUAAGAUGCUUCACUGUUUGCUGAUUAAGAUGUAUCCUGAUGCUUAUAAGAUGAGGGAGAUUCAGAUAUUAGAGGAAGAAAAGAGUACUCGCACUUUCUCGCCGCAGUUUGAUGCUCUUGUGUGCCAUGGUACUGAAGAGGCAAAAGUUGAUGGUUCUUCUCAAUCCUGCACAACAAGUACUCAAUGUGGAUCUUCCCUGCAAGCUGUUUCUUCUAGAGAUGUGGCUAUUCAAGAAGAGAAUGCACCACAAGUUAAGUUGAAUGAAAAUUCCAAGCAGAUUUCAAGAUCUGAUGUGCUCUGUGUGUCAUGCAAGCAACUGCUCUUUCGUCCCAUUGUUCUUAACUGUGGUCAUGUAUAUUGCGAGUCUUGUCUCAUUGUUCCGGCUGAUGAGAAACUGAAGUGUCAAGUAUGCCAAAGUCUACAUCCAGGGGAACUCCCUAAUGUUUGCUUGGAGCUUAAUCACUUUUUGGAAGAACAAUUCCCUGAAGAAUAUGCUAUGAAGAGAUGUGCGGCUCAACUCAGAGAGAAAACCUUGCACAGUGAAAGCUCAAAAGCCUAUGUGCAUGGAACUCACAAAGAUGAAGAUCGGAAAUCAUUGUGGUCUGGGAAGGUUCACAUUGGAGUGGGUUGUGAUUACUGUGGAAUGGUCCCAAUCAUCGGGGACCGAUACAGAUGUCUGGACUGCAUAGAGAAGAUUGGGUUUGAUCUCUGUGGGGACUGCUACAACUCCCGGUCCAAGCUCCCUGGCCGGUUCAACCAACAACACAAGCCCGAGCACAUAUUUCAGUUGAUGAGGCCAAACCCUGAGCAUAAUUUCAUGUGGAGGCUGAGGACUAGCAUUCUGUCUUUUAGUCCAGAUGCUCGAAAUGAAACUGCUCCAAAUGCAUCAUCUCCUGGACCAAUUCCACCCACUGAGGUUCCAGAAGGUUCCGAGCUCGAGCUGUCCCUGCCAUUUCAAUUUGAAGCCGAUGCGGAUGAAGACUCAAGUGAGACAGAAGCAAUUUGAAACUGUGGACCUGUCUUCCAGGAUGGAGGCUGAUGCAUCCAGAAGGCUUUUACAUGACUUUUUUUUGGUUCACGUUGUGCCAAGUGAAGUGGGAGUUACAUGGCAGUUUUUUUUUUUUUUCCAAUCUCUUUGAUUGGAGAGAGCAAGGGGCUAAAUAGAAAUUUCAUUCGUCGGACUCUGGCCACACUUUGUAUAGAUGCAAAUGCAAUGCUAUGUCCUUGGCAUGUAGUAUAACAUGAAAACUUGCAGAAUUAUCCGUCUUGUGACGGGGAUCCAGCAUGCGAUUGCCUUCUUACAUAGAGCAAUGCAUACUAUGCAUUGUUUACGUGUUGUAAAUUCUAGUUGGUAAUAAGAGUGGUGAGAUUUUAUUUGAAUUCUCCGGUGCGGUUGCUCUA